AUGCAGUGUACCCGCGGCAAGACGGAAAGACCCCGUGAACCUUUACUAUAGCUUGACACUGAACAUUGAGCCUUGAUGUGUAGGAUAGGUGGGAGGCUUAGAAGUGUGGACGCCAGUCUGCAUGGAGCCGACCUUGAAAUACCACCCUUUAAUGUUUGAUGUUCUAACGUUGACCCGUAAUCCGGGUUGCGGACAGUGUCUGGUGGGUAGUUUGACUGGGGCGGUCUCCUC
RNAcentral lists this ribosomal RNA (231 nucleotides) under Escherichia coli. Its description in RNAcentral is "partial 23S ribosomal RNA". It matches the Rfam family "Bacterial large subunit ribosomal RNA", at positions 2059 to 2289 of the family's 2925-position model. Lineage: Bacteria; Pseudomonadati; Pseudomonadota; Gammaproteobacteria; Enterobacterales; Enterobacteriaceae. The record is from RNAcentral.